Molecule: long non-coding RNA, 1066 nt
Organism: Cornus florida
Lineage: Eukaryota; Viridiplantae; Streptophyta; Magnoliopsida; Cornales; Cornaceae
Exons: 2
Source: RefSeq, a predicted model, not a curated record
CUUUUGUACCCUUCCCUACAUUUCCAAAGACAAAGCACCAUCUUCUCAGUUUUGAUCUCAUUUUCAACUAAUUACCGAGUCGUUUAAGGCAUCCUUGACUUCAAGUUAAAUUUUCUCAUCAUCUUGUAUGUUUUCUUUUUCCCUAGUUUAUAGACAACGAUCAAGUUUUUUUUUUUUUUUUUUUUUUUUUUUUUUUUUGACUCAUCCGCUUCUAUUAUCUAUGUGGGUACGACUCUCUUACUCUCUCUCUAAAUCUAUCUUUCUCCAACCUUAGCCCUAAUUUCGCACACUGACUGUCAAGUUCGCCCCAAAUUUUCAACUAUAGAUUCUCUUUUGUACACAUAAAUAUAUGUAUGUAUAUAUAUACAUCUUACAUUCAGAUUUUCUCUGAAACGAUUUCAAUUUGAUUGUGAUGUGUAAACCCUUUCUUUGAAACAAUUUCAUGUUCUUCCAAUACGGUUUCGUCAGUGGCCAGAUCGAUCCUUCUAGAUCGAACCUCUAUUUCGCCUUCUAAACCUUUUUUAAAUCUUAAACUUUUCAAAUUUAUAUAUAUAUAUAUAUAUAUAUAUAUAUAUUUUUUUUUUUUUCUAGCGUCUUCUAUUUUUAAUUUUGUUAUUGUUAUUAUUAUUAUUAUUAUUAUUAUUUUUUUUUAAUAAAUUUUCAUUUUGGGGGAUUCUACGAGUGAGGUGCAAGUGCGAAGAAAUUUGAACCAAUACUGCUCUCAUUUCUAUUUAAUAUUUACUUUCUUUAUAAUUUAUAUGCGUGCAUAUUUUCGAUUUUCAUUCAUUGUGCUUUUGCCCUUUAAAUUACAGGUUGUGCCACAAGCUAAUAUGGUAUUCAUUCGUCAAUCUAGAAGAGAUACCUAAGGUUUCACAUUGAUUACAAUCUAGCUCCCUUUUUGGAUUCAGAUUUCUUUUGGGAUUUUGAUGUGUAUGCGAUUAGCAUUGUGUAAUAUUGGAUUCAGAUAUUAACAUUUUGAUAUGUGUUGGAAGUAUCAUUUUAGAGUUUGGAUUAUUUGCAUAUUUUAUUAUCUAAAUUCUUAAUGAAUUGAAUUUUUAUUUAUUUA